UACGGGGGGGGCAAGCGUUGUUCGGAAUUAUUGGGCGUAAAGAGCUCGUAGGCGGCUUGUCAAGUCGGGUGUGAAAGCCCGGGGCUUAACCCCGGGUCUGCAUUCGAUACGGGCUAGCUAGAGUGUGGUAGGGGAGAUCGGAAUUCCUGGUGUAGCGGUGAAAUGCGCAGAUAUCAGGAGGAACACCGGUGGCGAAGGCGGAUCUCUGGGCCAUUACUGACGCUGAGGAGCGAAAGCGUGGGGAGCGAACAGG
This 253-nucleotide ribosomal RNA is filed under the name uncultured bacterium. RNAcentral describes it as "partial 16S ribosomal RNA". It matches the Rfam family "Bacterial small subunit ribosomal RNA", at positions 524 to 776 of the family's 1533-position model. The record is from RNAcentral.